Molecule: long non-coding RNA, 509 nt
Filed under: Olea europaea subsp. europaea
Lineage: Eukaryota; Viridiplantae; Streptophyta; Magnoliopsida; Lamiales; Oleaceae
Source: RNAcentral
CUCAAAUAUGGCCCUAAACCCCAAAUCAUCUUCCACAAUCUAAUCUAAUCAAGCAUCUCUACCUAUAAAUAUAAAUAAAUGUCCAUUUUCGAAUACAAAUUCAAAUUCACAUUUCAUGAACAAAUCCAUUUAAUAUUCAUUUCAAAAGCUAACCUAAAUGCCGGUUGGUGUGUGGUGUCGACGGUGACUGGGUGGUUGUGUGGUGCCGAUUUUUGUGCCUCGACCGUGAGAGAUCGAUGGUGAGAGACUGGGAGCAACUGUUAGAAAUCCUUUUCUUGUGUUUGGAGGUAUUUUCGAGUUUUUGUUUCCAAAUCAUUUUUUUUUAAAUUGUAUUACUUGGUCAAAGGCCAAUGUGGAAAAGUGGCUUGAGUUCGUUCUGUUCCUGGAAUGGAAUCACAGAGCUUAGCAUUUUUUCAUGCAUAUUGUUAUCUACCAAGCCAGAUGCCAGAUGGUUUGGUUGAACUCAGUAUAGAAAAACUAGUUAGAUUGAGAGGAGAUGGAAAGGGGAG